This is a long non-coding RNA of Salvelinus sp. IW2-2015, 401 nucleotides long. RefSeq lists it as uncharacterized. NCBI's taxonomy places the organism in Eukaryota, Metazoa, Chordata, Actinopteri, Salmoniformes, Salmonidae. The record is from RefSeq and is a predicted model, not a curated record.
CCUGUACAAGCCAGAGAGCUCUAGCCAUGGACAAAGACAGCUUCUCAGAUCCCUAUGCCAUAGUUUCGUUCCUCCACCAGAGCCCAGAAGACGGUGACGGUGCGUAACACGUUGAACCCCACCUGGGACCAGACACUCAUCUUCUACGAGGUGGAGUUGUGGAGACGCCGAUGUGACAGAGAGAAACCCUCCUAACAUCGUGGUGGAGCUGUACGAUCAGGAUACAUAUGGGGCAGAUGAGUUCAUGGGUCGCUGUGUGUGUCAGCCCUCCACGACCCCCUCCCCUCGUCUGGCCUGGUAUCCAAUCAGGAGGGGAGACAGGAGCGCAGGAGAACUGCUGGCUGCCUUCGAACUCAUACGGCGAGAGAAGCCCGCUGAUCAUCACAUCCCUGGACAGGAGG